Molecule: ribosomal RNA, 2891 nt
Filed under: Escherichia coli
Lineage: Bacteria; Pseudomonadati; Pseudomonadota; Gammaproteobacteria; Enterobacterales; Enterobacteriaceae
Also listed under: 1 other name
Description: partial 23S ribosomal RNA
Rfam family: Bacterial large subunit ribosomal RNA
Source: RNAcentral
GGUUAAGCGACUAAGCGUACACGGUGGAUGCCCUGGCAGUCAGAGGCGAUGAAGGACGUGCUAAUCUGCGAUAAGCGUCGGUAAGGUGAUAUGAACCGUUAUAACCGGCGAUUUCCGAAUGGGGAAACCCAGUGUGAUUCGUCACACUAUCAUUAACUGAAUCCAUAGGUUAAUGAGGCGAACCGGGGGAACUGAAACAUCUAAGUACCCCGAGGAAAAGAAAUCAACCGAGAUUCCCCCAGUAGCGGCGAGCGAACGGGGAGCAGCCCAGAGCCUGAAUCAGUGUGUGUGUUAGUGGAAGCGUCUGGAAAGGCGUGCGAUACAGGGUGACAGCCCCGUACACAAAAAUGCACAUACUGUGAGCUCGAUGAGUAGGGCGGGACACGUGGUAUCCUGUCUGAAUAUGGGGGGACCAUCCUCCAAGGCUAAAUACUCCUGACUGACCGAUAGUGAACCAGUACCGUGAGGGAAAGGCGAAAAGAACCCCGGCGAGGGGAGUGAAAAAGAACCUGAAACCGUGUACGUACAAGCAGUGGGAGCACGCUUAGGCGUGUGACUGCGUACCUUUUGUAUAAUGGGUCAGCGACUUAUAUUCUGUAGCAAGGUUAACCGAAUAGGGGAGCCGAAGGGAAACCGAGUCUUAACUGGGCGUUAAGUUGCAGGGUAUAGACCCGAAACCCGGUGAUCUAGCCAUGGGCAGGUUGAAGGUUGGGUAACACUAACUGGAGGACCGAACCGACUAAUGUUGAAAAAUUAGCGGAUGACUUGUGGCUGGGGGUGAAAGGCCAAUCAAACCGGGAGAUAGCUGGUUCUCCCCGAAAGCUAUUUAGGUAGCGCCUCGUGAAUUCAUCUCCGGGGGUAGAGCACUGUUUCGGCAAGGGGGUCAUCCCGACUUACCAACCCGAUGCAAACUGCGAAUACCGGAGAAUGUUAUCACGGGAGACACACGGCGGGUGCUAACGUCCGUCGUGAAGAGGGAAACAACCCAGACCGCCAGCUAAGGUCCCAAAGUCAUGGUUAAGUGGGAAACGAUGUGGGAAGGCCCAGACAGCCAGGAUGUUGGCUUAGAAGCAGCCAUCAUUUAAAGAAAGCGUAAUAGCUCACUGGUCGAGUCGGCCUGCGCGGAAGAUGUAACGGGGCUAAACCAUGCACCGAAGCUGCGGCAGCGACGCUUAUGCGUUGUUGGGUAGGGGAGCGUUCUGUAAGCCUGUGAAGGUGUGCUGUGAGGUAUGCUGGAGGUAUCAGAAGUGCGAAUGCUGACAUAAGUAACGAUAAAGCGGGUGAAAAGCCCGCUCGCCGGAAGACCAAGGGUUCCUGUCCAACGUUAAUCGGGGCAGGGUGAGUCGACCCCUAAGGCGAGGCCGAAAGGCGUAGUCGAUGGGAAACAGGUUAAUAUUCCUGUACUUGGUGUUACUGCGAAGGGGGGACGGAGAAGGCUAUGUUGGCCGGGCGACGGUUGUCCCGGUUUAAGCGUGUAGGCUGGUUUUCCAGGCAAAUCCGGAAAAUCAAGGCCGAGGCGUGAUGACGAGGCACUACGGUGCUGAAGCAACAAAUGCCCUGCUUCCAGGAAAAGCCUCUAAGCAUCAGGUAACAUCAAAUCGUACCCCAAACCGACACAGGUGGUCAGGUAGAGAAUACCAAGGCGCUUGAGAGAACUCGGGUGAAGGAACUAGGCAAAAUGGUGCCGUAACUUCGGGAGAAGGCACGCUGAUACGUAGGUGAAGCGACUUGCUCGUGGAGCUGAAAUCAGUCGAAGAUACCAGCUGGCUGCAACUGUUUAUUAAAAACACAGCACUGUGCAAACACGAAAGUGGACGUAUACGGUGUGACGCCUGCCCGGUGCCGGAAGGUUAAUUGAUGGGGUUAGCGCAAGCGAAGCUCUUGAUCGAAGCCCCGGUAAACGGCGGCCGUAACUAUAACGGUCCUAAGGUAGCGAAAUUCCUUGUCGGGUAAGUUCCGACCUGCACGAAUGGCGUAAUGAUGGCCAGGCUGUCUCCACCCGAGACUCAGUGAAAUUGAACUCGCUGUGAAGAUGCAGUGUACCCGCGGCAAGACGGAAAGACCCCGUGAACCUUUACUAUAGCUUGACACUGAACAUUGAGCCUUGAUGUGUAGGAUAGGUGGGAGGCUUUGAAGUGUGGACGCCAGUCUGCAUGGAGCCGACCUUGAAAUACCACCCUUUAAUGUUUGAUGUUCUAACGUGGACCCGUGAUCCGGGUUGCGGACAGUGUCUGGUGGGUAGUUUGACUGGGGCGGUCUCCUCCUAAAGAGUAACGGAGGAGCACGAAGGUUGGCUAAUCCUGGUCGGACAUCAGGAGGUUAGUGCAAUGGCAUAAGCCAGCUUGACUGCGAGCGUGACGGCGCGAGCAGGUGCGAAAGCAGGUCAUAGUGAUCCGGUGGUUCUGAAUGGAAGGGCCAUCGCUCAACGGAUAAAAGGUACUCCGGGGAUAACAGGCUGAUACCGCCCAAGAGUUCAUAUCGACGGCGGUGUUUGGCACCUCGAUGUCGGCUCAUCACAUCCUGGGGCUGAAGUAGGUCCCAAGGGUAUGGCUGUUCGCCAUUUAAAGUGGUACGCGAGCUGGGUUUAGAACGUCGUGAGACAGUUCGGUCCCUAUCUGCCGUGGGCGCUGGAGAACUGAGGGGGGCUGCUCCUAGUACGAGAGGACCGGAGUGGACGCAUCACUGGUGUUCGGGUUGUCAUGCCAAUGGCACUGCCCGGUAGCUAAAUGCGGAAGAGAUAAGUGCUGAAAGCAUCUAAGCACGAAACUUGCCCCGAGAUGAGUUCUCCCUGACCCUUUAAGGGUCCUGAAGGAACGUUGAAGACGACGACGUUGAUAGGCCGGGUGUGUAAGCGCAGCGAUGCGUUGAGCUAACCGGUACUAAUGAACCGU